Molecule: long non-coding RNA, 2985 nt
Filed under: Ictidomys tridecemlineatus (thirteen-lined ground squirrel)
Lineage: Eukaryota; Metazoa; Chordata; Mammalia; Rodentia; Sciuridae
Description: lncRNA (ENSSTOG00000029620.1)
Source: RNAcentral
AAGCAGGAACAUAUUCCCCAAAGCCCUAGGCCCCACACACCUGCUCUGGACACCAAAAAUUGUAUCUUGUGUCCCUCAGCUAUUCCGUGGAUGCCUCGGAGGUCACUGACCUGCAUGUUGUCAGUUACGAAGUGGAGCAAGACCUGAUUCCACUGAUUAUCUCCAACUGCCAGUAUCAAGUGGAGCAAGGUGGGGAGACAUUGCAGGAAUUUGACCUAGAGAAGAUCCAGCGGCAGAUUAGCAGCCGCUUCCUCCAGGGCAAGCCCCGGCUGACCCUCAAGGGGAUACCCACGCUGGUAUACAGACAUGACUGGAACUUUGAACAUCUCUUUGUGGACAUCAAGAACAAAAUGGCACAGAGCCCCCUUCCCCACUCAGCAAUGAGUGCCAUCAGUGGAGAGCUUCAGUCCUACAGCAGUGCCUGUGAAGCCCUCUCUGUCAUAGAGGUCACUCUGGGCUUUCUAGGCACAGUUGGUGGGGAUCCAAAUAUGCACCUGAAUGUGUAUGUCCAAGAAAUCCUGCGAAUGGACGACCAAACAACUCCAGUUUUAAAGGCCUUAAGCAGAUGUCAGUUAAAGCACGUCAUUGCCCUAUGGCAGUUACUCUCUGCUUUUAAGUCGGAACAGCUACUGCGACUGAAGAAAGAUCCCUUUCGGGAAAUCAGUUCUAGAUACAAAGCAGACCUCAGCCCAGAAAGUGCUAAGCUCCUCAGCACCUUCUUGAAUCACACAGACCUAGAUGCUUUCCUCAUGGAGCUACAUGAGAUGAUGGUGUUGAAACUAAAAAACAUUCAGACCCAGGACAGCUUCAAACCUGAAUGGAGCCUGAGGGACACUCUGGUGCCUUACAUGGAAACUAAAGAGAGCGAAGUUCUUCCAGAAGUGGAAUCCCAGUUUCCAGAAGAGAUACUGCUGGCCAGCUGCGUCUCUGUGUGGAAAGUGGCAGCUGCACGGAAACAGGACCGGCAAGCAAAAUAGGAUUCUGUACUCUGUCUCUUUAUGUGCUGCGGACACAGCUCCCCUUCCCUCCACCAUGCCUCUGGGGGCACCUGGAAGGAAAGUGUUGGCACAGCACUGAAUUCAAGGCCAGCAUGCACUGUGCCAGCUGAUGGAUUUUUUGAGAGCUAGGCUGUUUCUGGAACACAUGAAGAUCCAGAACUUUCACUUUAUAUUAUGAGUAUCAAGUGGUGAGAAUGGCAGUUAGUUGAAACUGGAAAUCAACCACCAUCCUAUGCAUUCAAGGAGCAACAGAAAGGAAGAGUCACAAUAGGGGUUACACCCAGCAAUGACCUGUGUUGGACCUGCAGCCUGUUCCUCGUGCUUCCUCAUGUUGCUACACAGAGGCCGAAUGCAGGGGGUUUGGUGUCUUUUCUUCCCUAUGAUAUUCUGCGCACACAGAAGAGAACCUGAUUUUCUUCUCUCUCCCAGUCCCUUAAAUUCUGAGUUCUGUACUCAUAUUUCUUGAGUUCCAAGUUGUGAAAAUAAUACCACACUCUUUUUGUCUUCUCACUAACAUGAGGAAAGCCAGGGGGUCCGCACAUGAGACUCCACUGUAAGUCACUGCUAGAUUCCAAAGGGUCAGAGCCAACAACUCUGGAGAACAUGAGAGUUGGGACGCUGCUUGGGUUUUGGUUUCCCCAUGAAUAAAAUGGAAUUGACUGACAGCCAAAGUGCUUUCCAGUUCUCAUAUCUUGAGAUUCUAAAUGAAAGUUUGUCAUUGUCAGCAUGGAUCAGAGGCAGGCUCUUAGAGAUGGCAUGGGGAGUUUUUGGCUUUGCACUGCAUAAGCAUGAAGUCUUGGUGUGAUCUCAGCUUCCCUGAGUAUAUGCAUUCCUGGUCCUUUCUUUGGGUCUCAACCACACCAGAAAAACUAAGCCUCAGAGCGAGUACAAAACCAGUUCUGUUUCUGAAAAAGGAAAAAUUACUCUCCUCGAUCUUGUGCUGCAUUUUUCAUUAAGUUUUGUCUCUGUUUGAAACCCACUUUGAUGUCCUGGACCACUGCAUAAAUUCCUGUACCUCACAGCUCAGAACUCGUUUGCAGUGAGAUCCAGCCAUCCACACCUAGGAGGCCCUGACUUUCAAGUAUAUUCCAGAUAAGUUAGGGACCCAAUCAACUUGAUAUCAGGCCUGUGUACUUUUGAGCUACAGAAAUGCAGAAUGGGGAAGGAGGGCACAGCUCAGUAGUAGAGUGCUUGCCUCACAUUCACAAGGUCAGAGGUUCAACCCACAACACCACAAAAAAAGAAAAAAGAAAAAAAAAGUUACCUGGCACAGGCCCUGUGCACACCUGCAAAGGUAGGUGCAGAAGGAAGUGAUUCCAUUUCCAUGGAUGACUUCUCACAGCAGACCACCACAAAGAAAGUGCAGUGACAGAUCUCAGGUAGCAACUCCUUUCAUAACACACACUUCCAUUUAGAGAGCUGUGAUGAACAUUCCAGACUAUGCAAGCCACUCCUAUUCCUACCAGUUGCCUGCCACCUGCAAGCAGGAGGGCUCAGCCUACCUGCCUGGGAGGUGGGGGGCAGUUUUCCGGGGCCAGCAGGUGACACUCAAGACUCAUACCAUUCUUCAUUGCCACACCUUCACAAGUGGAAUCAGGUUUCAAGUCCUUGAUGUGAAGACCCUUUUUCUCCCUUUGGCCUGGACAUUUUUUUUUAUCACUGGUAUGAAUUGUCUUUAAUUAAGAUGUUUUAUUUUGUAUGCUAUGCUUUCAAAGCCUUAACUGUCAUAUCUAGCAUGAUUUAUGCAAAAAUACCCUGGGCUAGCACAGGUAAAACUAAAUUUCAUUAUAAUGUAAUGCUGUUUUAAUAAACUUGAGUUCUGCUGCUAAAGGAUCCCUCUCUUUGGGAGCCAUGCUACUAUGUAUGGCAUGUAGACCUCAGCUAGGCUGUGGGAGUGGUUUUGAGUUUUUGUGGAAAUGCCCUUGCAUAAGUAUUCAUGAAGUGGAUGGUUUAUAAAUGAAGAGCACACUCUAGAAUGUGAGAUGCU